ACGAACGCUGGCGGCGUGGAUAAGACAUGCAAGUCGAACGGGGCAAUCUUGUAGCAAUACCGGGUUGUUCAGUGGCGAACGGGUGCGUAACACGUGGAUUACAUACCGGAAAGCGAGGAAUAGCCCAGGGAAACUUGGAUUAAUACCUCAUGUGGUCGCAAGACUAAAGGCGGGGCAACCUGUCGCUUUCUGAUUGGUCCGCGGCCUAUCAGCUAGUUGGCGGGGUAACGGCCCACCAAGGCGACGACGGGUAGCUGGUCUGAGAGGAUGACCAGCCACACUGGAACUGAGACACGGUCCAGACACCUACGGGUGGCAGCAGUCGAGAAUCAUUCACAAUGGGGGCAACCCUGAUGGUGCGACGCCGCGUGGAGGAUAAGGUCUUCGGAUUGUAAACUCCUGUCAUGCGAGAGCAAGAUUUGAGCGGGUAACUCCGCUGAAUUUGAUAGUAUCGCAAGAGGAAGAGACGGCUAACUCUGU
This 480-nucleotide ribosomal RNA is filed under the name uncultured bacterium. RNAcentral describes it as "bacterial SSU rRNA". It matches the Rfam family "Bacterial small subunit ribosomal RNA", at positions 29 to 506 of the family's 1533-position model. The record is from RNAcentral.